AAGGAUUCCCCUAGUAACUGCGAGUGAAGCGGGAAAAGCUCAAAUUUAAAAUCUGGCAGUGUUUAACUGUUCGAGUUGUAACCUAGAGAAGUGUUGCCCGUGCUGGACCAUGUAUAAGUCUCCUGGGAUGGAGCGUCACAGAGGGUGAGAAUCCCGUGUUUGACAUGGACUACCAGUGCAUUUGUGGUACGCUCUCAAAGAGUUGAGUUGUUUGGGAAUGCAGCUCUAAAUGGGUGGUAAAUUCCAUCUAAAGCUAAAUAUAGGCGAGAGACCGAUAGCGAACAAGUACCGUGAGGGAAAGAUGAAAAGAACUUUGGAAAGAGAGUUAAACAGUAUGUGAAAUUGUUGAAAGGGAAACGCUUGAAGUCAGUCGUGUUGGUCAGGGAUCAAGUUAGUGUUAUUUGCUGGCUGUAUUUCCUGGUCAAUGGGUCAACAUGAGUUUUGACUGCUAGAGAAAGGCAUUGGGAAUGUAGCAUCCAUUUUGGGUGUGUUAUAGCCCUAAGUCAUAUGUAGCAGUUGGGACUGAGGAUAGCAGCGCGCCGCAAGGCAGGGUUUCGACCACGUUCGCGCUUAGGAUGUUGGCAAUAAUGGCUUUAAGCGACCCGUCUUGAAACACGGACCAAGGAGUCUAACAUGCCUGCGAGUGUUUGGGUGGAAAACCCUCUCGCGUAAUGAAAGUGAAAGUUGAGAUCCCCCCUUUUUUUUGGGGGGGGGGGGAGCAUCGACGCCCGGACCAGAACUUUUGGGACGGAUCUGCGGUAGAGCAAGCAUGUUGGGACCCGAAAGAUGGUGAACUAUGCCUGAAUAGGGCGAAGCCAGAGGAAACUCUGGUGGAGGCUCGUAGCGAUUCUGA
RNAcentral lists this ribosomal RNA (853 nucleotides) under Amanita gymnopus. RNAcentral's name for it is "eukaryotic LSU rRNA". It matches the Rfam family "Eukaryotic large subunit ribosomal RNA", at positions 70 to 889 of the family's 3401-position model. The record is from RNAcentral. Lineage: Eukaryota; Fungi; Basidiomycota; Agaricomycetes; Agaricales; Amanitaceae.